This 253-nucleotide ribosomal RNA is filed under the name uncultured bacterium. Its description in RNAcentral is "partial 16S ribosomal RNA". It matches the Rfam family "Bacterial small subunit ribosomal RNA", at positions 524 to 776 of the family's 1533-position model. The record is from RNAcentral.
UACGUAGGUGGCAGGCGCUGUCCGGAUUUACUGGGCGUAAAGGGCGUGCAGGCGGUUUGUUAAGUGCAGGGUGAAAGCUCCCGGCUCAACUGGGAGAGGUCCUUGCAUACUGGCGAACUCGAGGGAGGCAGAGGAAAGUGGAAUUCCCGGUGUAGUGGUGAUAUGCGUAGAUAUCGGGAGGAACACCCGUGGCGAAGGCGGUUCUCUGGGACGGUACUGACGCUGAGACGCGAAAGCGUGGGGAGCGAACAGG